This 1099-nucleotide long non-coding RNA is filed under the name Gallus gallus (chicken). Lineage: Eukaryota; Metazoa; Chordata; Aves; Galliformes; Phasianidae. The record is from RNAcentral.
GCUGCACAGUUUAUUGGAAAGGGGGAGGGGGCACAGAUGGAGGGAGAGGGGGGGGGGAACAGCACCUCCUGGGUGGGAGGGGGAAGCCCCCCCCCCCAUGAGCGCCGCUCACUUCUCCUUGUGCUGAAUGAGGCCUUUGGCCACGAGGUCGGGGAUCUCCACCGCCAGCCACGGACCCAACCCCAACGCCAUGAGGUGCGCCAAACCAAACUUGGGAACGUUGCGGGCCCACAGGGGCUUGAAGUGGUCGCUGAGGCAAAUUUUGCCCCCUCUGUACAUCUUGGCUGUUUUCCCAUCCAGCUCCGGGAUGGCGAUCUCAGGAGCAGUGUUGGGGUACGUCACCGGGAUCUCAAACUCAAUGGCAAAUUCAUACUUGAGCAGCUCAUGGAUGUGCCAACAGCGCCCGGACCACCGCGUGCCCUCCGCGUUGGACUCGAGCCGGAACCAGUCAUUGUCAGAGGCCUUGUUGUGCUCCACGUACUGAAUGAGCGCGCGGUACUCCUCCUUGAGGCGCUCGGCCCAACGCUCCCGGUCCCGCGGCCCCGCCGCCGUCCGCAGCAGCGGCACCGCCGCCACCGCCCGCCGCGCCGCCUCCUCCGCCAUCGCGGGGUCCGGAAGCGGCGCUGUCCCGGGAGGGCGGGGAUGGCCACGCCGCCAUCUUGGCGCGGGGCGGAAAUGACGCGGAAGGGGCGGGAGCAGAAGAGCGCCGCCAUGUUGGAGAGGGGCGCGGACGCGAGGGGACGGAAGCGCCGCCAUCUUGGUGAAGGGCUAGAGGGCGCCGCUGCCGCCGCCAUGUUUACUGCGGGUUGCCUGAGGAUCCGCCAUCUUUAGUGCUGGCAGCGCUCAAUGUCAGCUCUCCGCUGCAAAUCGUUUCUUUCCCCCAUUUCUUUUCCCUUUUCCCUCUUUUUUUUUCUCUUUUUUCUCUUUAUUUUCCAUUUCCCACCUUUUUUUCCUCUUCUUUCUCCCGUUUUCCCCUCCUUUUUCCUUUUUUUUUCUCUCACCCCUUAUUUUUCCAAUUUGUUCCCCUUUCCCCCCCUUUUUACUCCUUAUUUCCCCCCUUUAUUUCCUUUAUUUCCCAUUUUCUCUUCUUUCAUUUUCC